AUGGACACACGAAAGUAUUUCUGUCUCUUUUAUAUCAAUAAAAAUUGAAUUAUAGGUGAAGAUGCCUAUAUAUUUUUAAAGGACAAAAAGACCCUAUUGAGCUUUAUUUCUUAUUAAUUAAAAAAGAAAUACCACAAAUUUUUAUUAAAAGGAGAUUCUGUUGGGGCGACAAAGGAACACAAAAAACUUCCAAAAAAAAAAAGAAAACACUUCUAUUCAAUGAUCCUUAAUAGCUAAAGAAACCAGCUACCAUAGGGAUAACAGGCUAAUCAUUUUAAAGAGUUCAUAUUGAUAAAAUGGGUUGGCACCUCGAUGUUGGCUUAGGGUAUCCUAUAAGUGCAGAAG
RNAcentral lists this ribosomal RNA (345 nucleotides) under Bathyglycinde cf. profunda NHM_1305B. RNAcentral's name for it is "partial large subunit ribosomal RNA". It matches the Rfam family "Bacterial large subunit ribosomal RNA", at positions 1996 to 2561 of the family's 2925-position model. The record is from RNAcentral. Lineage: Eukaryota; Metazoa; Annelida; Polychaeta; Phyllodocida; Goniadidae.